Molecule: non-coding RNA, 3817 nt
Organism: Podarcis muralis (Common wall lizard)
Lineage: Eukaryota; Metazoa; Chordata; Lepidosauria; Squamata; Lacertidae
Source: RefSeq, a predicted model, not a curated record
CGCCACCCGCGUCCCUUUUUUAUGCUGUAAGAACCCAUAAAAUACACCUGAUACUAUAUCAUACUAUAUCAACCUCUCCCCUACCAACUAGCUCAGAUCAAAGGACAGUAACACUUGUUCAUUUUUGUUGUGUCAUAAAAUCAGUUCACACAUACUGUAUGAUUACAGUGAAAGUUUCAAAAAGUAGUUUAUUAUGGCCCUUAAUUUGAAGAGCUUUCUCUCAUCUUCUAUGAUAAUAAAGUGUUACUGCACAGGCAGUGUAAAUAGGUUACUCAAGCAAUACAGUGAAUAGGUGUCAUAAGAUUGCUUAUAUGUAAUAAUGCCACACACCGGUAGUAUUAAUAAAAUACUAGUUAAGCUUCAACUUGGGGAGGAUAAAUAUUGGACAAGUCUGCAAGGAGAACAGAUUCCUCAGAUUCAGAAAGAGAUAGCCUCCACUAUUGGAGAGUUCCAGAGCUCUGUCUAGUCAGGUUAUGUGAGAUCAAUUUCAACCUGUUAUUUCCGAGGUUGUGGACAGGCUGCUUGGACGAGUGAAAGCGAGCCAGGCGGGUUGGGCAAUGGGCUCUGUGGGGUGGUGAAUGUUUCCCUCUGUGAGGGUAUCUUCCCUGAGCCCCUUAAAGAGCCACUUAAAAAAACAAAACACCAACCAAUGUGGCCCAUUAUUGCCUGGUCUCAAAUCUUCCAUUCCUGGGCAAUGGAUAGGGAGAAGGCUGUCUCUCAAGCUACGUUAUGCUUAGUCAAACCAUUUCCCCAUCUACUACAUUUCCCCAUCUCUAAUUGGUAGAAGCUCUCUGAGGUCUCUGGCAGAGUGUUUCUUUCCUAGCUAUGUUACUUGUGAAUUUUUCAAGUGGAGAUGAACCUUGGCUCUCCUGCAUGCAAAACAUAUUCCCAACCAUUACAGUAUUGUAAUGAUGUGCUAGUGUGGAUUUUUACAUUGUUGAUUAGUACAGAUCAUGGCAUUGGUCCAGCUAGCAUUGCUUUACUAUAAGAUAUACCCAUCAGUGAACUAUAUGUGACCCUCGCAGGUACAAACAAACAUCCUGACCUUUUAGUACUUACUGUAAAGAUUAAUCUCUAGGUAUUAGCAAAAUUUAAUUAUCACCUUUCUAUAAGAAAGAAGUAGACUUCACAACUUCUUUCAAAAGUAACUUUAUUAUCUGGGAAAUGUAAGUGAUUGAGUGGGUGGUCGUUGAACAACUCCAGGAAUAUCUGGAGGAUGUAGACCAUUUGGACCCCUUCCAAUCAGGAUUCAGGCCCCAUGAUAGGACUGAAACCGCCUUGGUCAAGCUGGUCAAUGAUCUCUGGUGGGCUAGGGACAGAGGUGAAAACUGUUUCCUGGUUCUGCUGGAGCUCUCAGCGGCUUUUGAUACCAAUGACUAUGGCAUCCUUCUGAACUGUCUACAGGAGUUUGGAACUGGGGGCACUGCUAUACAGCUCCUUCCUCCUGGGCCCUGUCCAGAAAGUGGUGUUGGGGGAUGAGUGUUCAGACCCCUGGGCAAUCACUUGUAGGGAGCCUCAGGGCUUUUAAACAUCUAUAUGAAGGCGCUGGGAGAGAUUCUCAGGCAGUGGCUGACCUACGUUUUUGAGACCCUGAAGCUUGAACAGAUCUGGGGGCCCCUUCGCAACCAGCAAUGAGGUCUGGGUAACCACUGUUAUUGUCUUCUGUGGGGUUGUUCCAUGGCAGAUCGCUUGAAAAAAACAAAAAACUACCACAUCUCAGAUUUUGAUUAAAAUUGCUGCACUGGAAUAUUUCACAUGUCAAAGUCUUUUAUAUGACAAGCUGCCAUUCAAUUAUGCAAGCAAUUUAAUUUGGAACACUUCAUUAGACAGAAUGGUCAUAUACUAGUAUAAUAAAAUUGGUAUUAAAAUGGUAUUAAUAUUAUUAACUUGACAGAGGUGAAAGAUGACUAAGUACUGCUCUAAUCUAUAGUUCAGUGGAUGCAGGGUUACAUAUAUCUGCCAUUACCUAAGAAUCCAAGGUCUCUGUUUUUUUGCUGUCCUUUGUAUUCCAAAAAAUGGCAAAUACUCCCAGGGAGAUUGUUUAAUUGGUUUACUUUUAGGACAAUAAGUAAGAGGUCAGAAAGGCAGUGAUUAUAUUGUCAGCAAUUCUUAACAGGUAACAAACUAGUUUACCUUAGCAGUUUUACUUUUAGGACAUGAGGUAAGAGGUCAGAAAGGCAGUAGUAGCCCUGUCAGAAAUUCUUAAGAGGUAACAAACUAUUCUUGUUCAUAUUCACUUUUCUAUGUGAAUUUGUAAAAGAAAUUGUGUAUAAUUUUAUUCAUAUAUUCAUCUUAUUCACAUUUUCUGACUAGUUCUUUGAUUCCCACCCCCCUCAAGCAGACACCUUACAACAGGGGUCCUCACACUAUGGCUCACGGGCCACAUCCAGCCCCCAGGGUCCUAAAUCCAGCCUGCCUGGCCAUUUCAGAACCCGCCCCAAAGUCGGAGGUUGAAACGCCACACCGGGUUAACCUCAGCCUCAGGCUCUGCCUCAAGCUCAUUCCCCAACUCCCUCAUUCAGUCCCUUGGUCGCCUCUUCCCGGUCGUGCGCUGCCUCGCCGCACGGAUUUCACACGGCGCACAUGUCCCGCUUGAAGACUACAGGUAACUGCAGGGGUUGGUGUGGAACUGAAGCUCUAGCUCCUGCUUCUCUUGUAUGCAAUGCUCUCUCUACCAGAGGUAUGUACUUGUUUAGGCAUCACACUAGACAGCGUUCCUAAAGAUGUGAUCUGAACAUAGUUUGUUAAUGCAUUUCUCACUAGCUAUCUUCUUUGACUUUUUUUGGAUUUGAACUACAAAAUGGUGAUUUUCUUGAGUCAAAAUGAGAGUACCCCUAAACAUAUAUUUUUUUAAGAAAAAAAGCACUGGCAGGAAGUAUAUCCUAAAAAUGCAGUCUCCUGAAGAGAGUUCAAAUAAAUGCUGCAACAGCAAUAAUACCAUGGUACUGUUUGUGAGGGGAGGGGGAAGCAAGAGAUUUGAAUGCAGCCAUGAAAAUUACAGUAUAAUGAUGUAUCAUCUUAAGUCCUGUGGCUUCCCCCAUUUCCUGUAAACACAGCUUUGUGCCAGAAAUACAUUUGUGCUUUUAUACUAAAACAUUCCUGAUAAGUUGCAUACGGGAGAACAGCUUUGUCAAGGACCACAGCCCUGAUGCCCACUGUGACCCUGAACAAAUCAGAGUUGAUCAGGAUUCAGCACAUUUGCUUCCUCCAAAGUCAGAUUAUCUCCAAGGCUAAUGUUUAAAAUGUAGAACAGUACAGUAUUUAUGUCCAUUUUUAGGCAUGCAUUUUCAUAGGGGCUAACCAAUUUGUAUGUUUCUGUUAACAGUUUAACACAGGGAACAGAGUACCAUUAAGUGCUUGCGGAGGCCUAUACUCUCAUCAACACUCACAUCUGCUUCACAGCAGUACUGGCUGCAGAAUUUGAAGGCCUUCAUGCAGUGCACCCUUAGUGGGCCGCAUCAACCUAUGAUAGUUUAGCUGUGUGCCAGUCAUGCUUCUCCAGUCCUCCCUCUUCCCCCAGCAACUUGCACACUCCUCCACUUUCCCAAGUCCACAGCAUGCUGCAUGAAACUAAAAGGGGAAGGGUGCUCUUAUUUUGUUACCCCCUCCAACACAGCAAGACCCAGAGAACUUGAGGGAGAGGCAGAAUGUAGGUCUUUUCUUUCACUUCCCUGCAGGCUUUGGAGAAAAACAAUGGAACUAAUGGAACUUACUCCCUAAUUGGAGCACUGAAGGAUUACUACCACUUCUACCAUAGUAAAACGAUUAAAAGGUCAGUUCUCUCAAGUAGAGGUACUCACAGCUUCAUUUCAAUGGA